GGAAUAUUGGACAAUGGUCGCAAGACUGAUCCAGCCAUGCCGCGUGCAGGAAGACGGCCCUAUGGGUUGUAAACUGCUUUUGUACCAGAGAAAACCUAUCUACGUGUAGAUAGCUGAUAGUAUGGUAAGAAUAAGCAUCGGCUAACUUCGUGCCAGCAGCCGCGGUAAGACGAAGGAUGCAAGCGUUAUCCGGAUUCAUUGGGUUUAAAGGGUGCGUAGGCGGGCUUGUAAGUCAGUGGUGAAAUCUCUCAGCUUAACUGAGAAACUGCCAUUGAUACUGCAGGCCUAGAGUAUAGAUGACGUUGGCGGAAUAUGACAUGUAGUGGUGAAAUACUUAGAUAUGUCAUAGAACACCGAUUGCGAAGGCAGCUAACGAAACUAUAACUGACGCUGAGGCACGAAAG
Molecule: ribosomal RNA, 404 nt
Filed under: uncultured bacterium
Lineage: Bacteria
Description: bacterial SSU rRNA
Rfam family: Bacterial small subunit ribosomal RNA
Source: RNAcentral